GCCAGGCAUGGUGGUGCAUGCCUGUAAUCCCAGCUACUUGGGAGGCUGAGGCAGGAGAAUUGUUUGAACUUGGGAGGCGUAGGCUGCAGUGAACUGAGACUGUGCCACUGCACUCCAGCCCGGGAAACAGAGCGAGAUUCCGUCUCAG
Molecule: unclassified non-coding RNA, 148 nt
Organism: Macaca fascicularis (crab-eating macaque)
Lineage: Eukaryota; Metazoa; Chordata; Mammalia; Primates; Cercopithecidae
Rfam family: Metazoan signal recognition particle RNA
About the family: The signal recognition particle (SRP) is a universally conserved ribonucleoprotein. It is involved in the co-translational targeting of proteins to membranes. The eukaryotic SRP consists of a 300-nucleotide 7S RNA and six proteins: SRPs 72, 68, 54, 19, 14, and 9.
Source: Ensembl